AGCUCCAAUAGCGUAUAUUUUAGUUGUUGCAGUUAAAAAGCUCGUAGUUGAAUUUCUGGUGAGCGAGAGCGGUCCGAUCAAUGAUUGGUGCUUGCUUUCGCUGGCCAUCCUUGGGUUUAGCCAGUCUGGCAUUAAGUUGUCGGGCUGGGGAUGCCCAUCGUUUACUGUGAAAAAAUUAGAGUGUUCAAAGCAGACUUAUGUCGUUGAAUAUAUUAGCAUGGAAUAAUAAGAUAGGACUACAGUGCUAUUUUGUUGGUUUGCGCACCGUGGUAAUGAUGAAUAGGGACAGUUGUGGGUAUUCGUAUUCACUUGUAAGAGGUGAAAUUCUUAGAUUAAGGGAAGACGAACUACUGCGAAAGCAUUUACCAAGGAUGUUUUCA
RNAcentral lists this ribosomal RNA (380 nucleotides) under uncultured marine Chaetocerotaceae. Its description in RNAcentral is "SSU rRNA". It matches the Rfam family "Eukaryotic small subunit ribosomal RNA", at positions 587 to 972 of the family's 1831-position model. Lineage: Eukaryota; Bacillariophyta; Thalassiosirophyceae; Chaetocerotales; Chaetocerotaceae. The record is from RNAcentral.